CGUAUAUUAAAGUUGUUGCGGUUAAAAAGCUCGUAGUUGGAUUUCUGUUGAGAACAGGCGGUCCACCUCUUGGGUGAGUAUCUGCAUUGGUCUCGGCAUCCUCUCGAAACUCGUUGCUGCGCUUGAUUGCGUGGUGCGGUGUUCGGGACUUUUACUUUGAGGAAAUUAGAGUGUUCACGGCAGGCAUUCGCCUUGAAUAUAUUAGCAUGGAAUAAUACUAUAGGAUCUUGGUUCUAUUUUGUUGGUUUCUAGGGCUAAGAUAAUAAUCAAUAGGGACAAUUGGGGGCAUUCGUAUUACGGCGUCAGAGGUGAAAUUCUUGGAUUGCCGUACGACGAACUACUGCGAAAGCAUUUGCCAAGGAUGUUUUCAUUGAUCAAGAACGAAAGUAAGGGGAUCGAAGAUGAUUAGAUGCCGUCGUAGUCUCUACCAUAAACUAUGCCGACUAGGGAUGAGGCGUCGUUCUUCUAUGACUCGCUUCACACCUUAUGAGAAAUCAAAGUUUUUGGGUUCCGGGGGGAGUAUGGUCGCAAGGCUGAAACUUAAA
RNAcentral lists this ribosomal RNA (545 nucleotides) under uncultured alveolate. RNAcentral's name for it is "SSU rRNA". It matches the Rfam family "Eukaryotic small subunit ribosomal RNA", at positions 598 to 1148 of the family's 1831-position model. The record is from RNAcentral.